GUUUGAGAUCAAAAGUGGUUCCGGUCCAUUGAAAACAUGGCAGCCAGUGGGUGGGGCAGUUUUCCUAAUUUGGCUAUAGAGAAACCUUGUAAACACUCUAGAGGCUACAUUUUUUGUCCGACCUUCAUGGAACUUGGUCAGAAGAUUUGUCCCAAUUAUACCUCGAUCGAAUUCUAAACUAGGUAAUGCUGGGUCAAAAACUAGGUCGCUAGGUCAAAAAAAAGAAAAAGCUUGUAAACACUGUAGAAGUCACAUUUCAUGCCCAACCUUCAUGUAACUUUUUCAAAAUGUUUGUCUUCAUGAUAUGUUGGUUGAGUUCAAAAGUGGUUCCGGUACGUUGGAAAACAUGGCUGCCAAGGGGACCGGGCAAUUUUCAUUAUAUUUAUAUAGUAAAAAAGGCUUGUGAACAGUCAAAAAGGCACAUUGUUUGCCCUAUCAUCAUGAAACUUUGUCAAAACAUUGGUUUUUAUUGAUAUCUCAGACGAGUUCGAAAAUGCUCCUUAUCGGUGAAAAAACAUGGCCGCCAGUGGGCCAGUGUUUCCUAGAUACAAGAGACGAGUUCGAAAAUGGUCCGUUGAAAAACAUGGCUGCCAAGGGUGGGGGCGCAUUUUCCUUAUAUUUAUAUAGUAAAAAAAGCUUGUGAACACUCUAGGCUUGUGGACAGUCAAAAAGGCACAUUUUUUGCCCUAUCAUCAUGAAACUUGGUCAAAACCUUGGUUUUAUUGAUAUCUUAGACGAGUUCGAAAAUGCUCCUGAUCGGUGAAAAAACAUGGCCGCCAGUGGGCCAGUGUUUCCUAGAUACAAGAGUUGAGUUCGAAAAUGGUACCGGUGCAUUGAAAAACAUGGCUGCCAGGGGUGGGGGCGCUUUUUCCUUAUAUUUAUAUAGCAAAAAAAGCUUGUGAACACUCUAGAAGACACAUUUUUUGCCCAAUCAUCAUGAAACUUGGUGAAAACAUUGAUGUUAUCUUUAUCUCAGAUAAGUUCGAAAAUGGUCCCGAUCGGUCCAAAAACAUGGCCGCCCGGGGGGGGCAAUUUUCCUUAUAUGAAUAUAGAGAAACCUUGCGAGCACUCUAGAAGUCACAUUUUUGCCUAAUCAUCGUGAAACUUAGUCAAGACAUUUGUUUUAUUGAUAUCGCGGUCAAGUUGGAAAAUGGCUCAGAUCAGUGAGGUUUUAGGAUCGGUCUUUAUCCGUCGUCCGUCCGUCCACAUUUGGUUUGUUAACACUCUAGCAUUCCCAUUUCUCAAGCAUUUUUAUCAAAGUUGCUGAGAAGCUAUAUGGCCACAAGCUCUCAAUCAAGUUUGAUAAUGUGCAAAAUUGCAUACUAAAUGCCAGAAUAAUUGCCCUUAGAUUUUCAAAAUUUUCAUUAUAUUAUACAAAAUCCUUGUAAACACUAGAAGUCUUAAUUUUGUUUCAGAUUUUAUGAAUCUUAGUUCUUACUCCUAAUAUUAUUUUUGUAAGCAAAGUUUGAUGUUAGGUCAUGACAAAAAAAAUGUCCACCAGGACGGGUUUUUAACCAGGUUUUCCGAAGGAAAAAACUGGUUAUUAGAUUGGCGAAUGCGGGCGGGCUGGCUGGCUGGCAGGCUGGCUGGCGUGCUGGCGGAAUAAGCUUGUCCGGGCCAUAACUAUGUCGUUCGUCAGAUUUUAAAAUCAUUUGGCACAUUUGUUCACCAUCAUUGGACGGUGUGUCGCGCGAAAUAAUUACGUCGAUAUCUCCAAGGUCAAGGUCACACUUUGAGUUCAAAGGUCAAAAAUGGCCAUAAAUGAGCUUGUCCUGGCCAUAACUAUGUCAUUCAUUGUGAGAUUUUAAAAUCAUUUGGCACAUUUGUUCACCAUCAUGGGACGGUGUGUCCCACGAAAGAAUCACGUCAAUAUCUCCAAUGUCAAGGUCGCCACGACUAAAAAUAGAUUAAAAAAAAAAAAAAAAACUUACAAAGGGGGUUAAUUUUUUUUGGUCAUUUCAAAAGUUCAGUUU
This is a long non-coding RNA of Dreissena polymorpha, 1973 nucleotides long. RefSeq lists it as uncharacterized. The record is from RefSeq and is a predicted model, not a curated record. Lineage: Eukaryota; Metazoa; Mollusca; Bivalvia; Myida; Dreissenidae. The transcript has 2 exons.